UAGGGAAUUUUCGUCAAUGGGCGCAAGCCUGAACGAGCAAUGCCGCGUGAACGAGGAAGGUCUUCGGAUCGUAAAGUUCCUGUUGAAGGGGAAAAAGAGCGG
RNAcentral lists this ribosomal RNA (102 nucleotides) under uncultured bacterium. RNAcentral's name for it is "partial 16S ribosomal RNA". It matches the Rfam family "Bacterial small subunit ribosomal RNA", at positions 355 to 456 of the family's 1533-position model. The record is from RNAcentral.